GAUGCGAUGAUGAGAUGAAAGCACUGGAAGUGUUUAUGGGCAGUGGAUAAUACCGUGAGCCUAUUUAAUUAAACGACUUCUCCUUCCACUGAGCUCA
Small nucleolar RNA from Beta vulgaris subsp. vulgaris (sugar beet), 97 nucleotides. It matches the Rfam family "Small nucleolar RNA Z152/R70/R12/". Rfam says of the family: Z152 is a member of the C/D class of snoRNA which contain the C (UGAUGA) and D (CUGA) box motifs. Most of the members of the box C/D family function in directing site-specific 2'-O-methylation of substrate RNAs. The record is from Rfam. NCBI's taxonomy places the organism in Eukaryota, Viridiplantae, Streptophyta, Magnoliopsida, Caryophyllales, Amaranthaceae.